Long non-coding RNA from Drosophila pseudoobscura, 2264 nucleotides. RefSeq lists it as uncharacterized. The transcript has 4 exons. NCBI's taxonomy places the organism in Eukaryota, Metazoa, Arthropoda, Insecta, Diptera, Drosophilidae. The record is from RefSeq and is a predicted model, not a curated record.
GACCAGAGCUGGCUGCAGCCUCAGUACCGAAACGAUGUUUGCUCGGAGAAGACCUGCAGGGAAAAUGCGCUCGCAAGAAGUCUAUAGAAAUCUCACUCAGCCGCCGGAAGCUCCGGGUCCGCCGCCAGAACCUGCGCCGGAAGAGUAUGGUGACGACAGCUGCCCCCACUGCGAUGCAGCCCCAAUGGUCGGAAAGCGACAUUCAAGGCUAAGUUGGUGGCAGAAACUUCGGGCCAGUCUAUCGCCCCUCUAUUGCUUUCGCUUUCGAUAUAAAACGAUCUUUAAGUGCCGGUCGUGCGGCUGGCGGACCUCUUCACCCAGUUUCUCGAAAAGAUGCAUCUAUGAAUGCAAAAAUACUACAGGAAUCGCAUCAUGAAUGGAAAAGAAAGGAAGGAAGAUGGCUAUUAUUUUAAGAGUUCUUUAACUAAUUAGAUUUCAUGAAGUUAUGGCUGUAGAAACGGAGUAAUUGGUCAAAAUCAGGAUCCCAACAGAAAUAACGAAAAUAUGAAUAUUUGCCAAAUGUGAAGGGGAUUAUAAAAUUAUAUCUAUAUCUGAGGCAUAAUUUUCAGGAGGUACACUAAAAAGGAAGAGAGAGAGAGAGGGACUCGUUGAUAAAGCUUUCCGCAACUGGUGGCACAUUUUUGUUGAGAGAACUGUUGCAGCAAGAGCAACCAGCAACGUGUUGAGAGAGUUGUUGCAGCAGGAGAAAUGUUGAUAGAACUGUUGCAUCAGGAGUCAUCAGCCACAUGUUGCUCCAUGACUUAUCCGGAAGAAAAUUACAUUGCCGGGACUUGUAACUUGUACAUUUUAAAGAAUAAAUCAGAGGUCAUGAUUGCGGUGUAUCGUAAUGGCUUACAUUCGUAUCUCAAUUUAUAAUUUUAUACAAUGCCUUACAAUUUUACCAAAUUUAUAAAAAACCAGAGCUUCGAGCAGACAUCAACUGCAACAUACAGUGAUAGCUAUAUAUAUGUCCAGGGGCUUUGCCAAAAGCUGUCACUCCUCCUGUUACGCCCAGGCCUAAAUAUUCCACACACCUCCUCCAGCUGCACCGCUGCCCCCACGCUUUGCGUAACGCAUGUGCAAUCAAUAGGUAUGGGAAUUUGAGAUGGGGUACAUUUUGAAAUAUUUUUAUCAAAUAACAACUAUUAUUAUUUAAUUGCGUCUGAGUGAGUAAUCCGAGGACGAAUCUUCCGACAGUUCGGACGAUUGGGAUUAGAGUAUAAAAGAUCAUUUUGCAAAACGCAGUCCCAGAAAGAUGGUCAAAGGGGAGGACCCCAACCAUUCCAAAUUUUGAACUGACAGACAAGAUCCGAAAAUGGGAAAAGAAUUGAAUUUUUCUAAGAUUAAAUGAAGAUACUACAUAGGAUAAUACAAUAGUGAAACUAUUGAAAUCAACACACGUUUCCGAAAAUAAAUGUAUGUCCAGAAAAAUGUGUAUAUAUAUGUACAUAUGUGUGUAUUCUACUUAAUUCCCGGGAUGAAAAGCUAACCUGUUAAUGAAGCUCACGGCAGCUGAUAGCAACAUUGUUGCACAGUUGCACACAGGGACAGGAUGCAUGUUGCACAUACAAACUCUAGAGCUUAUGGUCCAGGAAUCAGUUCUCUGUGUGACGUCUCAACUGCUGUUUGAAAGUGCGGAAAAGUGCAUUUCUCGUAUCCAAAGCCCGAAACCGUUUGUGCGUGGGAUACCAGGCGCAUCCAGAGCUAACUCCCCCGCAGAGCUCUAUUUUUGAGCUGCACCUGGGCAUUGCUAUUUUAUCGGAAUCAGAGUGUGCUCAGGCAUCAUUCGCGAACUGAAUGCCGUACAAACUGCUUCCACAAUACGGCCCGGCGGCACUUGUUGCGUUGUUUGUGGACUGGCGUGAAAACCUAAAGAAGGAGAUAAGAGCUAAUGUGAUUGCUGCUAGGAUGGCAAAGUACCGGAUUCACCACAAGUAUCACCGUAUUCCAAUCGAAUGCUGUCCCAGAUGCAAGUCAACGGCCGUCAAGUUGGAAAUCCGUACUAGUCGCUCGGGAUGGAAGAAACUAAAGAAGAAUUUGGUCGAACUAUGCUUCUGUCGGCCAUACAUUCCAGCGGGCAUGUAUACGCAGGGUCAUACAUGCCGAUCCUGCGGCUGGAUGGACGUAAUUAAGAUAUGUUAAAGGAAUACAAUAUUAUAUAUAUAUAUAUACAUGCAUAUACGAGUAUACUCACGAACAUUCAGAUAACCAAUAUGAUCAAAUAUUAAUUACGAUCAAAUAUUAUUCCGCGUUCUUCAAAGUUA